UACGUAGGUGGCAAGCGUUGUCCGGAUUUACUGGGCGUAAAGGAUGCGUAGGCGGAUAACUAAGUCAGAUGUGAAAUUCCUAGGCUUAACCAAGGAACUGCAUUUGAAACUGGCUAUCUAGGGUGCGGGAGAGGUAAGUGGAAUUCCUAGUGUAGCGGUGAAAUGCGUAGAGAUUAGGAAGAACACCAGUGGCGAAGGCGACUUACUGGACCGUAACUGACGCUGAGGCAUGAAAGCGUGGGGAG
Molecule: ribosomal RNA, 245 nt
Filed under: uncultured bacterium
Lineage: Bacteria
Description: partial 16S ribosomal RNA
Rfam family: Bacterial small subunit ribosomal RNA
Source: RNAcentral